RNAcentral lists this ribosomal RNA (429 nucleotides) under Bacteroidota bacterium. RNAcentral's name for it is "Bacteroidetes bacterium partial 16S ribosomal RNA". It matches the Rfam family "Bacterial small subunit ribosomal RNA", at positions 355 to 776 of the family's 1533-position model. Lineage: Bacteria; Pseudomonadati; Bacteroidota. The record is from RNAcentral.
UAGGGAAUCUUCGGCAAUGGGGGGAACCCUGACCGAGCAACGCCGCGUGAGUGAAGAAGGUUUUCGGAUCGUAAAGCUCUGUUGUUAAGGAAGAACGAGUGUGAGAAUGGAAAGUUCAUGCUGUGACGGUACUUAACCAGAAAGGGACGGCUAACUACGUGCCAGCAGCCGCGGUAAUACGUAGGUCCCGAGCGUUGUCCGGAUUUAUUGGGCGUAAAGCGAGCGCAGGCGGUUAGAAAAGUCUGAAGUGAAAGGCAGUGGCUCAACCAUUGUAGGCUUUGGAAACUGUCUAACUUGAGUGCAGAAGGGGCGAGUGGAAUUCCAUGUGUAGCGGUGAAAUGCGUAGAUAUAUGGAGGAACACCGGUGGCGAAAGCGGCUCUCUGGUCUGUAACUGACGCUGAGGCUCGAAAGCGUGGGGAGCGAACAGG